GGGUGACUAGUGGCAGAGUGAGGGAGGGAAGAGGUGACUAGUGACAGAGUGAGGGGAUGACUGGUGACAGAGAUAGGUAGUGACUAGUGACAGAGUGAGGGAGGGGGUGACUGUCACUAGUCACCCCAUCCCUCUCUCUGUCACUAGUCACCCCAUCCCUCUCUGUCACUAGUCACUCCCUCCCUAACUCUGUCACUGUGUCACCCCUCCCUAACUCUGUCACCGUGUCACCCGCUCCCUCACUCUGUCACUGUGUCACCCC
Pelobates cultripes (western spadefoot toad) is the source of this 262-nucleotide non-coding RNA. The record is from the annotation of a GenBank genome assembly. NCBI's taxonomy places the organism in Eukaryota, Metazoa, Chordata, Amphibia, Anura, Pelobatidae.